Molecule: long non-coding RNA, 5127 nt
Organism: Mya arenaria
Lineage: Eukaryota; Metazoa; Mollusca; Bivalvia; Myida; Myidae
Exons: 2
Source: RefSeq, a predicted model, not a curated record
UUGUCCUCGUCAGUUUUUUCUGAAAACUCAGCGAAUUGACAUGUAUCAUUUACAAGUCCCAGUAUGCUUGUUUGGCAUAUCGGACAAUUGUCAUUUGCAGGUACACACUUAGUGCAUGCAACAAAUGUACACAUGGAAGGUGAAUCACAUCAGCAACGCAUUCAAGACAAAUCUUACAAUAUUUUGUUUAGUUUUUAGAUUAUUUAAAUGUGAAAAAAAAAUCAAAUAAAGACAAAAUAUUUUUAAUUAACAGUAAAAAAUCUUCAAAAUUUGGAUAAAAGUCCCAUAACGUACCAUGAUAAUAACUAUGUUGUCCGUAAAAGCUUUAUAAAAGUGUGUAUUAAUUAUACCUUAAUUCAGUUCAAAUAAUUAUGGCCUUUAAGGAUUUGUGUUUUCAUAAUAUAGAUUUCAUGUUAUAUUGAGCUUUGUCAAUUUGUGUUGAUGUUUUGUUUUAAGUAGAAUUACUACUUCUAUUUCCUAACUUUUGUCUCAUUUGUCAAAUUGAAUUGUUACAUAUUUAAGUGAAAAAAUGCACACACUAUUUUUAAAGAUGCACUCUUACUCCCCAAUAAGACUUAUGAUAAUUAAUAUUAUUGUUUUCAUUUUUCAAAAUGGGUUGAUAGAUGUCAACAACAAUGUUUCUAAUGAAGGAUCUUGAGUUCAAUUUGCUAAUAAGAAUGAACUUAAAACAUGGUAUUUCUGCCUUGUGAUACUAUAGUAGACCACAGUAAAUCUUUUAGCAAUCACCUAUUGAUCAUUUAAUAUUUGUCAUGCAUUCUGCUAUUAUAAACAGGGUGACAAGCUUGUUAUCAGUAAACGAUAUUUCAGUAAAUGCAUUAUUUAGUAAGUAGUUAUUGUUUUUUCAUUCAAUUUGAUGUAUGUUAUAUAUAUAUACAAUUAUAUGUAUUGAUUUCAAAUAAGAGUUUCACUUUAAAGAUGCUCAUUUAAAGAUAAUGAACAGACACACAAAAACUAGACACAUUUGAUACUAAUUAUACGAAUGAUUAUUGUUUUAUAUAUAGGUGACCUCUGAUUUGUUUUGGAGAUAUUCAUAAAUGGGUGUUAUUCUUUAUUGUCUUCAGUUUCUUAUACAUUUAAGGAUUUUUAUAAUUGCUUUUCUGGUAUAUAUUACAAUGUAAUUUAAUGUAAAUGAAAACACACUUUAAACUGGACACAUUUGAUACUAAUGAUAUAAAUGAUUAUUGUUUACAUGUACUCUGAUUUGUUAUGAAGAUAUUCAUAAAGGGGUGUUCUUCAUGUUAUUAUACAUUUUGGACUUGAUUUAGUAUUGCUUUUCUGGUAUAUAUUCAUUUAAUGCACAAAGAAAUUAUUUUAAGUGUUCAGUAUCACUUUCACACAUUGUAUACUAUUAUUUUUUUUGCAUAUUUGGCCUAUUCAUGCUUAUAUGUGCAUUGUUGUAUAUUAAAACCUUUGUGAAAAAUAGAAACAGUAUUAUUUCCUUCAUACAUAUUCAGUUUGAAUGCGUUAUUUUUAUCAUAUUUGAAAAAAAUGCCAUUGUCCAAUAAGACACAUGCUGUUAUUGUGUUAAUAUCAACUAAAACAUCCAUUUUCUACUCUAUUUUACUAUGUAGAUGAAGAAGUUAACAUUAGUAUUAUUAAACAGCUAAAAACAAGGCAUGUUAUGUUAUAAAUGCAUUUCAUCUAGUAAACAAUGUUCACUUUUUAUAUAACAGUUCAAUAAUUAUGUUCUAUUUAUGUUUGCAACUUUACAGUUCAAUAAUUAUGUUCUAUUUAUGUUUGCAACUUUCGGACGUAAUGAUAAUAUUUAUUAAAGUACUACACAAAUUGUUAAAUUGUUAUUUCAUAUCACUUCUUCAUGAUGAAUGAGGUAACUUAUUCUUCCCUACAAGUUGUCAUUCCAGCAUGGUGACGUUGCCCCCUCCCCCUAUAUGAUUAGAACUGCAGUGUACAUGAACAAUAACUCUAUUUCAGCGUAUUGCAAGAGUUAUUCUCUUUGUAUCUUUUCCUGUCCGGAGCAUAACUAGAAAACUACUUUUUUUGGAAUUUCAUUUAACAUCAUUCAAUGGUAUUUAGCACAACGAGAGGAAGUGCAGUGCACAAUGACUAUAGCUGUUUUUAAGCUAAUUACAUAAUUAUUGCCCUUUGCCGCUUUUUCUUGACCAGAGCAUUACUUUAAAACUACGUAUGGUAUUGAAAUAAAACUUGGUAUAUGGGUAUGUGGCAAUGACAAAAAGUACAGUGCACAAGCACCCUAAUUCUGUCUUGUUCAUUAAUGUACCCCACCCCUAAUGAAAUGUUCAACUUGAAAAUCUUGAAUUUCAAUGCUUUUGCCUAUGUUGUCAUGCAGAAAACUACAAACAUUUUGAGAAUUUCAUAGAUGCGGUUCAAUGCACCAUAAUAUGCUUGUUGGCCUUGACAUUCCUUGUUUUUCAACAUUUAACAAGUGCAUAAACUAUUAAACGGCGCCCUUUGAUGCUUUGCAUCAAUGGUCUUUCUUGUUCCUUUAGGAAUGGCUGGAAACAAUCAAUGGAAGGGUAUUAACGCAAAAAUUACAUCUUGCUUUCUUACGUUACAUCGUGCUUUCUGAAUUGUACAUCUUGGAUUCUUACUUUUACAUUUUGCAUUAUGCACACAAUGCAUUCUGGCUUGCACAUCUUGCAUUAUGACUUGCACAUUUUGCUUUAAAUUGCAUGAAUCGUUCGUUAUUUGACUAUCUUCAAAUUUGUCUACGUUAAAGUUAUAUGUUUGAUGCUAAAAUCAGUUCAGUUUAAUUAUAAUGAUCGUAAACUGUCUACAUUUAAUGUGUACAAAAAUAGGAAACCUAUGUUAAUCGAUUAUACAUGUAUAAAUAAUACAUGGAAGCACGCACUUUGUGAAAUACAACUAGGCAGGUUGCAAACUACACUCUUUUUUACGACAGAGGGCGCAAGUUCGGAAACAUGUACGGAACCAUACGGAAAUUACCGAAAAUAUACGAGUAUCCGGAAUAUCAAUCACAAUAGUUAUGUCCCUUAUUUGCAAUUUAGCCAUAAUCUUAUUUGUUACGGUUGAUGUCAUGUGGUUGAUUUUUUUAUCAUCUGAUCAUUUGUUAUAAAUAAACAACAUCUGCUAUUCAUAUACACCAAAAGGCAGUUGCAGAUUCAUUCUUUUUUGGCGGAACACUGUCCACACCAUGGAUUGAUAUUUACGAUGGAGUUGAGACACAGGUGGUGAUUAACACUGGACAUGUUCUUCAGGCUCUCAUAGGAUGUGAAACACUUCCACGAAAUAUAGAAUGUUGAUUGGUUGAAUUUAGCCACACAUCAAAUAAUUUAACAACUGUCAACACAUGUGCUCCUUCAAUUAUGUUCUCACAGACUGCUCGUAUUCAGGAGUACGAGACUUUUGAAAAGCACUUUUUGAGCCUUAUUGUUGAUGCUGUUGGUUUUGGAAUUGCGUAAUGUUGUAUGACCAAAGUAAAGAGAUCUUUAAAGAAUAGAACAAAGUUCAUUUGCUAGCCAUGUUUUUACCAUACUAUGUCACUUUGCUAAAGAUGGCUAGAUUUGAACAGAUUUUGUAAAAAUGUUCCUUAGAUUACCACCCCAAGAUUGCUCAAAUGAUUUUGAUUGCUCAUUGGGAGGGGCCCCAUUUUUAUGCUUUUUAAAGGAGGGCAGCAUAUAGUCGCCGCUUUGUACCUUUGCAUGUCUGUCUGCCCGUCUGUCACACCCUUUUCGAGUAAAUAACUUCGAAACUAGGUAUGGGAUUAAAAUGAAACUUGAUAUAUAGGUAGAUGACAAUGUGAGUAAGUGCACUGCACAAGAAUCAUGCAAAUUUAUAAAGUUGGUGCUUGUUGAGGCCAUACUUUUUUCAACUUGUGUAUAAUGCUGCUACAACAAUUCAUCUGAUACCAAGUGCAUUGUAUUACAAUGUGUGCCGUAUCAUAGAACAUUUCUGUUUGGGAGGCAUCCAUCGCUUUUAGCGAUACUCUUGUUUAUUAUAUGUAAACUGUAGAAAUUAUUUCCAUAUAGACUGGACCACAUCUUUUAUACAUUCGAAGACGCUUUACCUAGCUGAGAAAUAAUCAAGAAAUAGAUUGCAAUGAUCUAUCUAUAGCAUUAUUUUGAAUAUGUGGCAAAUUGUUUAUUGUGAGUGCCUCAGUUUUCUAGAGACAGUUGUUGUUAAGAUGAUGUUUUCUCUUGUAUCUAUACCAAGUUGUAAUCAAAGACCUUUCAUGGCAUAUUUUUUAAAAAAAUCCAUCAUCAAUAUGGCACAUGUAGAACUGCCAUUUUAUAAAUUAUACAUUUAGAACAAAAACUGAUUUUUCAAAUUACCACUGAUAGGUCAAUAUUUUACCAUAUGGACUGUAAUUUGUGUGACAGCCAUGAAUUUUCACAAAUAAAGACAUAAUUUUUGGACUUCACCUAUGACCUUUAAGUAAGGUCAAUACAAUAAAAUUGAGGUUUUCUUUUUUGCCUAAUCCCUUUGUAAACAUAUUUUAAGAAUUAUUCUAGAAUGAAUAAUGCUAACAGAGUAUUUUUCUGCUCUCAUGGAGCAAUAUGAAACAGUGUCUUUCAGAUUGCAUUGUUCUAUGAUAUAUUAAAUCUUGUAUUUCAUAAAAACAAUAUUUGUAUAAAUACAUCCUUAUCCUGUAUUUAUAUGUUAUUACAAUCUAUGUUUUCUUGAACAAUGAUGCAAAUAAAUGAUAUCAUGGGUCAUGUAAUACAGAACUGUUAUGCACAAUAUACAUUUUAUACAUAAUGCAGAAAACAAAUCUUAUCUGAGACAUUAUGGAUAUGGAUUAGGCUUCUCUCAGCCGUGCUCUUGUUCAUGAAACAUCAUUGUCAGCAAGUGCACUACACAAUUUACUUUUAAUAUAAAAAAACAACACAUACAUGUACUUAUUGUUUUUAUAACUACAUACAAAACAUUGCAUAUAGCCCUCCUUCACUGACAAGGCACAUAAUUCAAGUGAUAAACAUUUGUAUCCAUUAUCUAAUGAAACAGUUUCACUUUCGCCACAGAUGUGGCUGUAUUUAAGCAUAUCUUGUUGUUUGUAAUCACCAAGAUGAUACUGCUUGAUCUGAAUUACGUGGCUUUUGACAAGGCACAACUUAACAUUUAUGAUAUUUAAAAACUCAUCAUGUUUGUAAUAAAUCUUAAACCAUG